RNAcentral lists this long non-coding RNA (837 nucleotides) under Triticum aestivum (bread wheat). RNAcentral describes it as "long non-coding RNA (TAES_LNC019120)". Lineage: Eukaryota; Viridiplantae; Streptophyta; Magnoliopsida; Poales; Poaceae. The record is from RNAcentral.
CGCGGCCAUGGUCCUCUCCCACCGCCGCUUCCUCCUUCCACCCCGGCCUCUUUGCCAUCGGCGCCGUCGCACCACUGCCGGCCCCUGCUCGAGCUGGUCAGGCGGCGUGCAGAUCCGCCACUGCCACAGCGUCGUCGUCCUCCACAACCACGCAGCGGCUCCUCGCCCGCGACCCUCUUCUCCAGGUAUGAGUCCCUCCUCUUCUCCCCUAAUUCCUUGUGGUUCCCGUCCAUCUCCGCGUCUGACUCAUGCGUGCGUUCAGUUUGGGGGCAAGGAAGGAGAAGCCUUUCUCGCUCGAUCUGGCGAGGAUGGAUGCGCAGCAAGGUCAGGUCGCCACCAUCUCUCCCCCUCCUUUCGUUUUCUCGGUUUUGGUUUCGAUUUGCUUCUCUUCCCUUCCCUUCCCUGACGCGGUUCGUUUCCUCACUGCACAGGUGCACCACCGUGAUGAUGGGGACUCAUUCUUGCUGCCACGAUUCGUCUCGUCGUCCUCCCCGGCAUUCGCAUAGGUGCUAAGCCACUGCCCCAUUUCACUAGUGCACUACUAAAGGCUGAUUGAUUGGUUGUUAAACUAGAAGCUUAACUUUCUUGCCGCAAAUCACUGCUUGCAGAUGGCCAUGAAAUCUGACCAACUGCUAGCUACUUACACGCAUGCUUACAACGCUAGUUUCCAGUGAGGAAGCACUCAGUACAGUUGAUUGGGUUUGCGAUGUGCAGGUCAGGCUCGUGGGGACGGUGAGUGGCAAGGCGGGGAGGAACACGGAUAUGUCACUUCAUCAGAUGGUGAGUUAAUUUCGGCAAAGCGCAAGCUUUUAUUCAAGUUCUAGAUGCGUCUUAGGG